UACGGAGGAUGCGAGCGUUAUCCGGAUUUAUUGGGUUUAAAGGGUGCGUAGGCGGGAUGCCAAGUCAGAGGUAAAAAUGCGGUGCUCAACGCCGUCGAGCCGUUGAAACUGGCGUUCUUGAGUGGGCGAGAAGUAUGCGGAAUGCGUGGUGUAGCGGUGAAAUGCAUAGAUAUCACGCAGAACUCCGAUUGCGAAGGCAGCAUACCGGCGCCCUACUAACGCUGAGGCACGAAAGCGUGGGUAUCGAACAGG
RNAcentral lists this ribosomal RNA (252 nucleotides) under uncultured bacterium. RNAcentral's name for it is "partial 16S ribosomal RNA". It matches the Rfam family "Bacterial small subunit ribosomal RNA", at positions 524 to 776 of the family's 1533-position model. The record is from RNAcentral.